Molecule: long non-coding RNA, 645 nt
Filed under: Rattus norvegicus (Norway rat)
Lineage: Eukaryota; Metazoa; Chordata; Mammalia; Rodentia; Muridae
Description: long non-coding RNA NONRATT022370
Source: RNAcentral
GGUAACAGGUGGCUACUGCGACCGCACUACCCUUAGCUGCUUGCUGUGCUGUGGCACCAUUGGGCGCUUUACCGUCGUUUGCCGUGGAUGCCUUAGAUAAAGGAGGGCAGCAAGGGCCCACUCGGUUUAUAUUGCUUGCCGAAGUCAAGCAAAUGACUGAUGGAGUUAGAACUUAGCCUUUUUGACCCUGCCAAGAGUUCUCUUGUAAAUGUAAGCACCCAAUAUUUGUGUGCUUAAUAUAUAUUGUUCAAUCGGUGCUUAACUUAAAAUACUUAUACUGGAAACGUCUUAUUUUCAGAAUUAUUUUCAGAAUAACACAUUUGCUUAAUUAAAAACCAGUUUGUGUCAGUCGGAUGGUGGUGGGUGCCUUCAAUCCCAGGAUUCUGGAGGCAGAUAGGCAGAUCUCUGAGUUCAAGGCCAGUCUGGUCCAUAAAGCAAGUUUCAGGCCAGCCAGAGUUGCACAAAGAAACCCUGUCUUGAAAAACCAAAUACCAAACCAAACAGACAAAAACCCAGUUUGUUUGAAGCACUUUGGAUAGAAAAGUAAUAGUGUGACCAUGGUAGGCUAGAAUACGGAAGUUAUAAAGUAAUGAAUUGUUCUUCUGCAUCUCUGACAUUUCCUGGGCAUGUAUAAAGCACAUGGAA